UGGAUUGUCACUACGUUCGCAAUUUGUUACACACUGGCUUUCUCAAGCUUUCUCAUGUUCCCGCUUCUCGGCAGCUGGCUGACCUAUGGACAAAGGCCUUAUCUGGGACUGCUCUUUCUCUUCUUUUGUCCAAGUUGAUGGUGGUUUCCCCCCUUCAACUUGAGGGGGGGGGGGUGUUGAGAUAUAUGUAAGGCAAUGAUGAUAAAACCCACACUUAGACCAUUAUGAGUCAAUGAGGGAGUCACAUCUGAGCCUAAUAGGCUAUUUCUGUAAUUAGUCUAUUUCUGUAAUUAGGCUAUUUCUAUAAUUAGGCUAUUUCUGUAAUGGGUUAUUUUGUAUAUAUGCUGAAGGGUCGUUUGUACAAAGAC
Molecule: long non-coding RNA, 368 nt
Filed under: Nicotiana benthamiana
Lineage: Eukaryota; Viridiplantae; Streptophyta; Magnoliopsida; Solanales; Solanaceae
Description: long non-coding RNA (NBEN_LNC003206)
Source: RNAcentral